This 464-nucleotide ribosomal RNA is filed under the name Vreelandella stevensii. RNAcentral describes it as "partial 16S ribosomal RNA". It matches the Rfam family "Bacterial small subunit ribosomal RNA", at positions 338 to 794 of the family's 1533-position model. The record is from RNAcentral. Lineage: Bacteria; Pseudomonadati; Pseudomonadota; Gammaproteobacteria; Oceanospirillales; Halomonadaceae.
CCUACGGGGCGCAGCAGUGGGGAAUAUUGGACAAUGGGCGAAAGCCUGAUCCAGCCAUGCCGCGUGUGUGAAGAAGGCCUUCGGGUUGUAAAGCACUUUCAGUGGGGAAGAAAGCCUUGGGGCUAAUACCCUCGAGGAAGGACAUCACCCACAGAAGAAGCACCGGCUAACUCCGUGCCAGCAGCCGCGGUAAUACGGAGGGUGCGAGCGUUAAUCGGAAUUACUGGGCGUAAAGCGCGCGUAGGCGGUCUGAUAAGCCGGUUGUGAAAGCCCCGGGCUCAACCUGGGAACGGCAUCCGGAACUGUCAGGCUAGAGUGCAGGAGAGGAAGGUAGAAUUCCCGGUGUAGCGGUGAAAUGCGUAGAGAUCGGGAGGAAUACCAGUGGCGAAGGCGGCCUUCUGGACUGACACUGACGCUGAGGUGCGAAAGCGUGGGUAGCAAACAGGAUUAGAUACCCGAGUAGU